Molecule: ribosomal RNA, 512 nt
Filed under: uncultured bacterium
Lineage: Bacteria
Description: partial 16S ribosomal RNA
Rfam family: Bacterial small subunit ribosomal RNA
Source: RNAcentral
GACGAACGCUGGCGGCGUGCCUAAUACAUGCAAGUCGAGCGAGCGGAACUAACAGAUUUACCUCGGUAAUGACGUUAGGAAAGCGAGCGGCGGAUGGGUGAGUAACACGUGGGGAACCUGCCCCAUAGUCUGGGAUACCACUUGGAAACAGGUGCUAAUACCGGAUAAGAAAGCAGAUCGCAUGAUCAGCUUUUAAAAGGCGGCGUAAGCUGUCGCUAUGGGAUGGCCCCGCGGUGCAUUAGCUAGUUGGUAAGGUAAAGGCUUACCAAGGCGAUGAUGCAUAGCCGAGUUGAGAGACUGAUCGGCCACAUUGGGACUGAGACACGGCCCAAACUCCUACGGGAGGCAGCAGUAGGGAAUCUUCCACAAUGGACGCAAGUCUGAUGGAGCAACGCCGCGUGAGUGAAGAAGGUUUUCGGAUCGUAAAGCUCUGUUGUUGGUGAAGAAGGAUAGAGGUAGUAACUGGUCUUUAUUUGACGGUAAUCAACCAGAAAGUCACGGCUAACUACGUG